RNAcentral lists this ribosomal RNA (1345 nucleotides) under uncultured bacterium. Its description in RNAcentral is "bacterial SSU rRNA". It matches the Rfam family "Bacterial small subunit ribosomal RNA", at positions 28 to 1381 of the family's 1533-position model. The record is from RNAcentral.
GAUGAACGCUAGCGGGAGGCCUAACACAUGCAAGCCGAGCGGUAUUGUUUCUUCGGAAAUGAGAGAGCGGCGUACGGGUGCGGAACACGUGUGCAACCUGCCUUUAUCUGGGGGAUAGCCUUUCGAAAGGAAGAUUAAUACUCCAUAACAUAUUGAUUGGCAUCAAUUAAUAUUGAAAGCUCCGGCGGAUAGAGAUGGGCACGCGCAAGAUUAGCUAGUUGGUGAGGUAACGGCUCACCAAGGCGAUGAUCUUUAGGGGGCCUGAGAGGGUGAUCCCCCACACUGGUACCGAGACACGGACCAGACUCCUACGGGAGGCAGCAGUGAGGAAUAUUGGUCAAUGGGUGCAAGCCUGAACCAGCCAUCCCGCGUGAAGGACGACUGCCCUAUGGGUUGUAAACUUCUUUUGUAUAGGGAUAAACCUACCCUCGUGAGGGUAGCUGAAGGUACUAUACGAAUAAGCACCGGCUAACUCCGUGCCAGCAGCCGCGGUAAUACGGAGGGUGCAAGCGUUAUCCGGAUUUAUUGGGUUUAAAGGGUCCGUAGGCGGACUUAUAAGUCAGUGGUGAAAGCCUGUCGCUUAACGAUAGAACUGCCAUUGAUACUGUAAGUCUUGAGUAUAUUUGAGGUAGCUGGAAUAAGUAGUGUAGCGGUGAAAUGCAUAGAUAUUACUUAGAACACCAAUUGCGAAGGCAGGUUACCAAGAUAUAACUGACGCUGAGGGACGAAAGCGUGGGGAGCGAACAGGAUUAGAUACCCUGGUAGUCCACGCCGUAAACGAUGCUAACUCGUUUUUGGGCUUUAGGGUUCAGAGACCAAGCGAAAGUGAUAAGUUAGCCACCUGGGGAGUACGCUCGCAAGGGUGAAACUCAAAGGAAUUGACGGGGGCCCGCACAAGCGGUGGAUUAUGUGGUUUAAUUCGAUGAUACGCGAGGAACCUUACCAAGACUUAAAUGGGAAUUGACAGCUUUAGAAAUAGAGCUUUCUUCGGACAAUUUUCAAGGUGCUGCAUGGUUGUCGUCAGCUCGUGCCGUGAGGUGUUAGGUUAAGUCCUGCAACGAGCGCAACCCCUGUCACUAGUUGCCAUCAUUCAGUUGGGGACUCUAGUGAGACUGCCUACGCAAGUAGAGAGGAAGGUGGGGAUGACGUCAAAUCAUCACGGCCCUUACGUCUUGGGCCACACACGUAAUACAAUGGCCGGUACAGAGGGCAGCUACACAGCGAUGUGAUGCAAAUCUCGAAAGCCGGUCUCAGUUCGGAUUGGAGUCUGCAACUCGACUCUAUGAAGCUGGAAUCGCUAGUAAUCGCGCAUCAGCCAUGGCGCGGUGAAUACGUUCCCGGGCCU